CGUUCCGGCCGCUCCUGCCUCUGCACUCGCUCCGCAUCCUCUGCCUCCUCCUCCUCUUCCGCCUCGGAGCCCUCCAGGGGGGACGCGGGGCCAGUGCCUCGGCCCGCAGCAUCUAAGAGAGAAGUGGGAGGUGACCAGAAGCCCUAAACAACUCUACCAGCGGCGUCCCCAAACCUUCUUGUCCUCCUCCAGAGCGCUCGGCUUUGUCCUUCCUUGAUCCAACUCCCAGUUCCUUCCCUCUUCCCACUUUGCCCUCUCUGGUCCCCAAUCCGCACACCCUAAAGAGCAGAUUCAGGAGUACCAUGUCCUCUUGCCCUUUAGAAACCUGCCACUAACUAGGCACCUAAGAAGUAUGUUGGAUGGCACCCGACAUCAAGAAAGUAUAGUGACUUUAUCGAGGAAAGAGCGGAGUCGGUGCGAUAUGGACAUGUCAAGUGCAUUUACCAUAGAACUUCCCAGUCCCUAGAAGCCUAUUUUGGUGUGCGAGUCUCAGCAAUUAAACAAGAAGUUAUUAAGCUCCCCUCCCCCCAAAAAAGAGAAAUUCCCCUUUUCCCAUCUUCUCUCUCCGGCCGUGUUAAUAGAGUUUCAGAUUUGUCCGGGGCCUGAUCGAUAGAUGUCAUCUAUUAAAGGGCAGCGAGAUGCACCGGCGGGAGCGCAGCUCGCGUGAAUUUCUGCGGAUCCAAGAUGUCCAGGACCGAGAAGGAGAUCUUGUGGUGAGAAGGGGCCGCCUUGGCCCCGCCGUCCUGCCAUGCCAGCAUGUCCGCCUCCCGCGGGCCGGAGGGAGGACAGCCCGCCAUCAGCCAUGAGGGAAAGCCAGCACUAGCCACACCCUUGGGAACAUUGCUUCUUUUGUCAUCGCUACGACCUUUAGACGUUUAUUUCAGCGGCAAAUUCUGAAGCACCCCUUACUUAGAGCCACCUCCGGGCCCGCCACUCCUUUCUUCUUUUGCCCCUUGCGGUUCCCAGACAAUGUCUUGGCAAUUAAUAUUGUCUGAUCUGGUAAGAAGUAGGAAGAGGAGGGGACUCUUUCUCUAAAGUGCUGGGA
Long non-coding RNA from Acomys russatus (golden spiny mouse), 1045 nucleotides. RefSeq lists it as uncharacterized. NCBI's taxonomy places the organism in Eukaryota, Metazoa, Chordata, Mammalia, Rodentia, Muridae. The transcript has 3 exons. The record is from RefSeq and is a predicted model, not a curated record.